AACUUCAAUGAUGAUUUAUAUUCCGCCCCAGUCUGAAUUUUUUGAAGAUUGGUUAUAACUGAUGUGUA
Small nucleolar RNA from Centruroides sculpturatus (bark scorpion), 68 nucleotides. The record is from RefSeq and is a predicted model, not a curated record. NCBI's taxonomy places the organism in Eukaryota, Metazoa, Arthropoda, Arachnida, Scorpiones, Buthidae.